AUUGAACGCUGGCGGCAUGCCUUACACAUGCAAGUCGAACGGUAACAGGUCUUCGGAUGCUGACGAGUGGCGAACGGGUGAGUAAUACAUCGGAACGUGCCUAGUAGUGGGGGAUAACUACUCGAAAGAGUGGCUAAUACCGCAUGAGAUCUACGGAUGAAAGCAGGGGAUCGCAAGACCUUGUGCUACUAGAGCGGCCGAUGGCAGAUUAGGUAGUUGGUGGGAUAAAAGCUUACCAAGCCGACGAUCUGUAGCUGGUCUGAGAGGACGAUCAGCCCCACUGGGACGGAGAAACGGCCCAGACUCCGACGGGAGGGAGCAGUGGGGAAUUUUGGACAAUGGGCGAAAGCCUGAUCCAGCAAUGCCGCGUGCAGGAUGAAGGCCUUCGGGUUGUAAACUGCUUUUGUACGGAACGAAAAGCCCCGGGUUAAUACCCUGGGGUCAUGACGGUACCGUAAGAAUAAGCACCGGCUAACUACGUGCCAGCCGCCGCCGUAA
RNAcentral lists this ribosomal RNA (498 nucleotides) under uncultured bacterium. Its description in RNAcentral is "partial 16S ribosomal RNA". It matches the Rfam family "Bacterial small subunit ribosomal RNA", at positions 30 to 523 of the family's 1533-position model. The record is from RNAcentral.